ACUUCAUCAAACGGAAAAGGUUUUACUUAAGGUAGAUUAAUAGGGAAUCGUGUGAGAAUCACGAGCUGUCGCGCAACUGUAAGUAACAUACCAAAGGUUUUUGUCCUUGAAGAUCCACUGCCACAAGCGGGAAGGAUGACAAAAACUGUUACAAGUCAGGAGACCUGCCUGUUCCGAAUUGACAAU
This 186-nucleotide non-coding RNA is filed under the name Chryseobacterium sp. Lineage: Bacteria; Pseudomonadati; Bacteroidota; Flavobacteriia; Flavobacteriales; Weeksellaceae. The record is from RNAcentral.